CACAAAGUAUCAGGACUGCUUUCUAAUUACUGACAGAUUUCAGCAGGGGUCAUGACUUUUUGUGCCUUUUUGCACCUUCCUUUCUUCAUAUGUUCAACACCUUUUCUCUCUGUCAUUUCUUCUAUUUACACAUAACUUAAUUCAUGGACAUUUAACGUGUGAUUUCUUUGCAUGUGUGGAUUGGAUGGGUUGUUACCAACAUCUGGAACCAUCACAACCAUGUUAGAAAAUGGUCC
Oreochromis niloticus (Nile tilapia) is the source of this 236-nucleotide long non-coding RNA. RefSeq lists it as uncharacterized. The transcript has 2 exons. The record is from RefSeq and is a predicted model, not a curated record. Lineage: Eukaryota; Metazoa; Chordata; Actinopteri; Cichliformes; Cichlidae.